AACGAACGCUGGCGGCAUGCCUAACACAUGCAAGUCGAACGAAGGCUUCGGCCUUAGUGGCGCACGGGUGAGUAACGCGUGGGAAACUGCCUAUUGGUGGGGAAUAACGACGGGAAACUGUCGCUAAUACCGCAUAAGCCCUUCGGGGGAAAGAUUUAUCGCCGAUAGAUGUGCCCGCGUCCGAUUGGCUAGUUGGUGAGGUAAUGGCUCACCAAGGCGACGAUCGGUAGCGAGUCUGAGAGGAUGAUCAGCCACACUGGGACUUAGACACGGCCCGGACUCCUACGGGAGGCGGCAGUGGGGAAUAUUGGACAAUGGUCGAAAGCCUGAUCCAGCAAUGCCGCGUGAGUGAUGAAGGCCUUAGGGUUGUAAAGCUCUUUCGGGUGGGACGAUGAUGACGGUACCACCAGAAGAAGCCCCGGCUAACUUCGUGCCAGCAGCCGCCGUAA
This 449-nucleotide ribosomal RNA is filed under the name uncultured bacterium. RNAcentral's name for it is "partial 16S ribosomal RNA". It matches the Rfam family "Bacterial small subunit ribosomal RNA", at positions 29 to 523 of the family's 1533-position model. The record is from RNAcentral.